ACCGGGCUUGGUGGCUCAUGCCUGUAAUCCCAGCACUUUGGGAGGCCAAGGCCUGGCUAAUUUUUGUAUUUUUAGUAGAGACAGGGUUUUGCCAUGUUGAUCAGACUGGUCUGGAACUCCUGACCUCAGGUGAUCCACCCGCCUUGUCUGGUGCUCAAAAGGGGGAAGUGGGCCAGGCAUGGUGGCUCACACCUGUAAUACCAGCACUUUGGGACGACAAGGUGGGUGGAUCACUUGAGGUCAGGAGUUCCAGACCAGCCUGGCCAACAUGGUGAAACCGCUUUUCUACUGAAUAUACAAAAAAUUAGC
This 309-nucleotide long non-coding RNA is filed under the name Homo sapiens (human). RNAcentral describes it as "non-protein coding lnc-SFT2D3-4:1". Lineage: Eukaryota; Metazoa; Chordata; Mammalia; Primates; Hominidae. The record is from RNAcentral.